GGGGAAGAUUCAGCAUGUUCUGGAGGCUUAGAUCCCCCUUACAGACAAGUCCAUUAAUCAUGACAUUAUAUUUGGAAUGUUUUACCGGUGGGUAUGUCUGUUGUAUUGCCACAGUUAUUACUGUUAUGACAUACCAAGGUUGAGGAUUAGCCUAUGUAUCUCGACAAGGUUUUAUCCUGCUCUGUGAAAAGUAAUUGAGAACAGGCCGUAGGGCAUGCAGUACUGACAUUACUGGGUUGAAAUCUAUAGCCAACCGUCUGUCACCGCUAGCAUUGUAGAAUUCUGUAGUACAGAAUCCAGUCUCAUGGCCCUUAAGGAGUAGUCUAAAUAAUGUUAUCUUUCAUUUUGACAUGGUUAUUCUUUCUGUCUGCAGCUCAGAGAACACCAAAUUCGUAGUGGUAGGCCCCUCAGACCAGACCCUGGACCAGACUGUUAGCGGUCCAGACACAACCAGCAACGACCUACUGACGUCUCUCAGAAACAUGGUUCGAUCCAACAUGGCUGCCAUAGAGAAGGGUUCUCCCUCCAGGAAGAAGAAUCCCUCCAGAGCCAACAGAUUGAACAUCAGGUAGAUGAGGAGGAGGGAAGAAGAGGAGCUUGAAUAGCUCCAGAGCAUUCGAACAAAGACCUCCUGGAGGAGUCUAGGGAGUCCUCCCCCAGGAAGACAGAUAGGUCCUGAGAGGAGAGGGCAAAGAUGAGAAGAGGGAAAAGAUGGAACACUGCCCAAUGGCUGCCUGCUGAUUGUUGUAUACCACCCAGUGGACUGGAUCUGGACAUUAUCUGAAUAUGAGUCUUGGACUAAUCUAGCUAAUAGUCUGGCUUAGAAGACUAGGGAGGUUUAAAGUGUGUCCUCUGUCAACUGUGACAGUCUGGACUAGAAUGGUUACUGACUGUGUGCUGGGCAUGGGUUGUCAUCAUGUUCUAAACAUAAAUACACUUUCUGUGUCUGAGCACAUGAAAUGGGUGGAUGCAAGCCAAGGCAUUCUGGAGUGAUGUUUGCCUAUGUUUACUUUACAGGCUUACUUCAUUAGUGCCUUGAAAAUAUUGACCACUAUUGUCAUUUGGAUUUUGAUCUUUACUUUACCUGUCGCACGACAUCUACUAUAUCAUAGAAUAACAAAAUAAUCCUCUGUAUCAGAGAUUAAUUGCCAGUUUAUAGUGAUUGCCAUGCAUGCAUUUAAAUGACUUGAAAUACAUUUGGCACAUGAAGGACAUGACUUUAAGGGACCUGGAAUUACUAUACACAUAGCCUUCCUGUAGCAGCAGAUAAAAGCAGGUCUAUUGUGAUUGCGGAAAUAUUUAUUGCAUACUGUAGCCACUGUUGAUUGUUUUGAUUGUAGACAGGGUGAAGGCAGCAGGUUUCAAUAGGUCUGCUCCUUGCCAAAUAUGCAGUGAUUGUUUUUCUGCUUUCAACAAAUGUCCAUUAAAUGUCAAUGUCAUUACUCGUUAGGAAAUUAUGACACUGCACUUUUGUUCUAAUGCCUUCAAAGGAAUGUGUUUUUAUGUCCAGUAGGCUUUAGAUGGGUUGGGCUGAUAGCUGAACUCCAGCCACUGUCUGACCAUAAGGCAUUUUCUGUAAACACUACAUCAAAAAAACAAGUCUUCUACUGAUGUUGAAGUCCAAUAUCACAAUGCUGUAUAUUUAUGAUAUUAUUAUUUAUUUAUUUGUUUGUGUGUUGUUUACGAAUGUGUGUAUCAAAAUGCUGGACAGUGCUUUUGUUUAAUGAACUGUUGUUAUCCCUAGAAGGACAAUUCACCCUCAAUCGUCUAUUUAGCAGUCAAGGACACCAUAGGAAAUGUUUACCCAUGAAUUGUUCUAUUCCAAGCUAUUCAUAUUAUCUACUGUACAUGUACAAAACUCUGAAAUUAUUUAUUUAACUUAUUUGUGG
This 1889-nucleotide long non-coding RNA is filed under the name Salmo salar (Atlantic salmon). RNAcentral describes it as "lncRNA (ENSSSAG00000109357.1, ENSSSAG00075051487.1)". Lineage: Eukaryota; Metazoa; Chordata; Actinopteri; Salmoniformes; Salmonidae. The record is from RNAcentral.